GACGAACGCUGGCGGCGUGCUUAACACAUGCAAGUCGAACGGAAAGGCCCUGCUUGCCGGGUACUCGAGUGGCGAACGGGUGAGUAACACGUGGGUGAUCUGCCCUGCACUUCGGGAUAAGCCUGGGAAACUGGGUCUAAUACCGGAUAGGAGCCAUUUUUAGUGUGAUGGUUGGAAAGUUUUUUCGGUGUAGGAUGAGCUCGCGGCCUAUCAGCUUGUUGGUGGGGUAAUGGCCUACCAAGGCGGCGACGGGUAGCCGGCCUGAGAGGGUGGACGGCCACAGUGGGACUGAGAUACGGCCCAGACGCCUACGGGAGGCAGCAGGGGGGAAUAUUGCACAAUGGGCGCAAGCCUGAUGCAGCGACGCCGCGUGGGGGAUGACGGCCUUCGGGUUGUAAACUCCUUUCGCUAGGGACGAAGCUUUUUGUGACGGUACCUAGAGAAGAAGCACCGGCUAACUACGUG
RNAcentral lists this ribosomal RNA (465 nucleotides) under uncultured bacterium. RNAcentral describes it as "partial 16S ribosomal RNA". It matches the Rfam family "Bacterial small subunit ribosomal RNA", at positions 28 to 507 of the family's 1533-position model. The record is from RNAcentral.